GACGAACGCUGGCGGCGUGCUUAACACAUGCAAGUCGAACGGUGAACCUCUUCGGAGGGGAUCAGUGGCGAACGGGUGAGUAACACGUGGGCAACCUGCCCCCGGCUCUGGGAUAACUCCAAGAAAUUGGGGCUAAUACCGGAUGUUCACCGCUUCCCGCAUGGGUGGUGGUGGAAAGGGUUUCCGGCUGGGGAUGGGCCCGCGGCCUAUCAGCUUGUUGGUGGGGUAGUGGCCUACCAAGGCGACGACGGGUAGCCGGCCUGAGAGGGUGACCGGCCACACUGGGACUGAGACACGGCCCAGACUCCUACGGGAGGCAGCAGUGGGGAAUAUUGCGCAAUGGGCGGAAGCCUGACGCAGCGACGCCGCGUGGGGGAUGACGGCCUUCGGGUUGUAAACCUCUUUCAGCAGGGACGAAGCGCAAGUGACGGUACCUUCAGAAGAAGCACCGGCCAACUACGUG
This 463-nucleotide ribosomal RNA is filed under the name uncultured bacterium. Its description in RNAcentral is "partial 16S ribosomal RNA". It matches the Rfam family "Bacterial small subunit ribosomal RNA", at positions 28 to 507 of the family's 1533-position model. The record is from RNAcentral.